GUUCGUCUCGCUAGGCAGAAAGCUUUGCGUCCUACGUAGUUGGGUCACCGGGAACCUUCCUUCCGAAAUCUACUCCGCAGAAGGGCUGAGUGACGGAGAGAACAGGUGCUGCAGGUUCAACUCCUUUGAUUCUCUCGCACUCUCCCGCCAUAAACUGUCUGUGCCCUGGCAAAACCUGUGCCUGGAAUUCACGCAUAUUCUGUCCACAUGCAUUAUUUGCUCUGCUUCCCAUUGCGAAGCCUGCUUCGGCGUGCAGGACAGAUGGGGAGGGCCUGGUUUGGGGCAAGAGUUUUAGGUUUUAUGUCUUCCCCGGGGCUUUCCACAUUUUCGUGUCAGGCAUCACAAAACCCAGCCACUAACUACAAUUUAACCUUUUUUUUUUUUUCCCAGAAGUGAUGGACUCUGAUUUAUUACAUCGUUUCAACACGCAUUGGCCUUUUGGAUACAAUCCAAAGGCAGAACAGUGUACUGUUUUAGAUAUUAACAUAGGGUUUUGUUUGGGUUCAGAUCUGGGUUUGCUCUGUCAUUUACUCAGUUGUGACAUUCAGCAAGUAACAUCUUAAAUCCUUGCUUUUCCCGUCAUAAAAUGGAGAGACAUAAAAGAAAAAUCUCAUAAGGUUUUACGGAGGUGGAGAAUGUUUAGAAAGCACUUUGCAUAGUUCCUAGCGUAGAGUAAGUGCUCAACAAAUACAGUAUACCCACAAAUUCCCAUGUGGGAUCACCACUUUUUCUGGCCCAGUAUUCCCACAAGAAAGGGUUUGUAAGACACAGAAAAUACAAUUAGCAUAAUAGCACAACACUAUUAGAUUCAAAACGUCAAUACUAGUAGGAAAAUAAUCUUGUAGAUGUUUCAUUGAAUAUGGAGGAGUUGUUUCCCUCUCCCUUUGAUCCUGCGCACAGAAUGGAAAACUGCAUCCUAACCCCACAGUUAAUAUAGACCAAUAACAGCAAGCAGCAAUUGGAUCCUAAAAUAGGAGAGAAUGGGAGAGGAGU
RNAcentral lists this long non-coding RNA (993 nucleotides) under Marmota monax (woodchuck). Lineage: Eukaryota; Metazoa; Chordata; Mammalia; Rodentia; Sciuridae. The record is from RNAcentral.